GGUUAAGCGACUAAGCGUACACGGUGGAUGCCCUGGCAGUCAGAGGCGAUGAAGGACGUGCUAAUCUGCGAAAAGCGUCGGUAAGGUGAUAUGAACCGUUAUAACCGGCGAUGUCCGAAUGGGGAAACCCAGUGCAAUUCGUUGCACUAUCGUUAACUGAAUACAUAGGUUAACGAGGCGAACCGGGGGAACUGAAACAUCUAAGUACCCCGAGGAAAAGAAAUCAACCGAGAUUCCCCCAGUAGCGGCGAGCGAACGGGGAGCAGCCCAGAGUCUGAAUCAGCUUGUGUGUUAGUGGAACGGUCUGGAAAGUCCGACGGUACAGGGUGAUAGUCCCGUACACCAAAAUGCACAGGCUGUGAACUCGAAGAGUAGGGCGGGACACGUGGUAUCCUGUCUGAAUAUGGGGGGACCAUCCUCCAAGGCUAAAUACUCCUGACUGACCGAUAGUGAACCAGUACCGUGAGGGAAAGGCGAAAAGAACCCCGGCGAGGGGAGUGAAAAAGAACCUGAAACCGUGUACGUACAAGCAGUGGGAGCACCUUCGGGUGUGACUGCGUACCUUUUGUAUAAUGGGUCAGCGACUUAUAUUCUGUAGCAAGGUUAACCGUAUAGGGGAGCCGCAGGGAAACCGAGUCUUAACUGGGCGUUAAGUUGCAGGGUAUAGACCCGAAACCCGGUGAUCUAGCCAUGGGCAGGUUGAAGGUUGGGUAACACUAACUGGAGGACCGAACCGACUAAUGUUGAAAAAUUAGCGGAUGACUUGUGGCUGGGGGUGAAAGGCCAAUCAAACCGGGAGAUAGCUGGUUCUCCCCGAAAGCUAUUUAGGUAGCGCCUCGUGAACUCAUCUUCGGGGGUAGAGCACUGUUUCGGCUAGGGGGUCAUCCCGACUUACCAACCCGAUGCAAACUACGAAUACCGAAGAAUGUUAUCACGGGAGACACACGGCGGGUGCUAACGUCCGUCGUGAAGAGGGAAACAACCCAGACCGCCAGCUAAGGUCCCAAAGUCAUGGUUAAGUGGGAAACGAUGUGGGAAGGCACAGACAGCCAGGAUGUUGGCUUAGAAGCAGCCAUCAUUUAAAGAAAGCGUAAUAGCUCACUGGUCGAGUCGGCCUGCGCGGAAGAUGUAACGGGGCUAAACCAUGCACCGAAGCUGCGGCAGCGACACUAUGUGUUGUUGGGUAGGGGAGCGUUCUGUAAGCCUGCGAAGGUGUGCUGUGAGGCAUGCUGGAGGUAUCAGAAGUGCGAAUGCUGACAUAAGUAACGAUAAAGCGGGUGAAAAGCCCGCUCGCCGGAAGACCAAGGGUUCCUGUCCAACGUUAAUCGGGGCAGGGUGAGUCGACCCCUAAGGCGAGGCCGAAAGGCGUAGUCGAUGGGAAACAGGUUAAUAUUCCUGUACUUGGUGUUACUGCGAAGGGGGGACGGAGAAGGCUAUGUUAGCCGGGCGACGGUUGUCCCGGUUUAAGCAUGUAGGCUGAUUAUCCAGGCAAAUCCGGAUAAUCAAGGCUGAGGUGUGAUGACGAGGCACUACGGUGCUGAAGUAACAAAUGCCCUGCUUCCAGGAAAAGCCUCUAAGCAUCAGGUAACAUUAAAUCGUACCCCAAACCGACACAGGUGGUCAGGUAGAGAAUACCAAGGCGCUUGAGAGAACUCGGGUGAAGGAACUAGGCAAAAUGGUGCCGUAACUUCGGGAGAAGGCACGCUGGUGUGUAGGUGAAGUCCCUGCGGAUGGAGCUGAGACCAGUCGAAGAUACCAGCUGGCUGCAACUGUUUAUUAAAAACACAGCACUGUGCAAACACGAAAGUGGACGUAUACGGUGUGACGCCUGCCCGGUGCCGGAAGGUUAAUUGAUGGGGUUAUCCGUAAGGAGAAGCUCUUGAUCGAAGCCCCGGUAAACGGCGGCCGUAACUAUAACGGUCCUAAGGUAGCGAAAUUCCUUGUCGGGUAAGUUCCGACCUGCACGAAUGGCGUAAUGAUGGCCAGGCUGUCUCCACCCGAGACUCAGUGAAAUUGAACUCGCUGUGAAGAUGCAGUGUACCCGCGGCAAGACGGAAAGACCCCGUGAACCUUUACUAUAGCUUGACACUGAACAUUGAGCCUUGAUGUGUAGGAUAGGUGGGAGGCUUUGAAGCGUGGACGCCAGUCUGCGUGGAGCCAACCUUGAAAUACCACCCUUUAAUGUUUGAUGUUCUAACGUUGGCCCCUUACCGGGGUUGCGGACAGUGUCUGGUGGGUAGUUUGACUGGGGCGGUCUCCUCCCAAAGCGUAACGGAGGAGCACGAAGGUUAGCUAAUCCUGGUCGGACAUCAGGAGGUUAGUGCAAUGGCAUAAGCUAGCUUGACUGCGAGCGUGACGGCGCGAGCAGGUGCGAAAGCAGGUCAUAGUGAUCCGGUGGUUCUGAAUGGAAGGGCCAUCGCUCAACGGAUAAAAGGUACUCCGGGGAUAACAGGCUGAUACCGCCCAAGAGUUCAUAUCGACGGCGGUGUUUGGCACCUCGAUGUCGGCUCAUCACAUCCUGGGGCUGAAGUAGGUCCCAAGGGUAUGGCUGUUCGCCAUUUAAAGUGGUACGCGAGCUGGGUUUAGAACGUCGUGAGACAGUUCGGUCCCUAUCUGCCGUGGGCGCUGGAGAAUUGAGGGGGGCUGCUCCUAGUACGAGAGGACCGGAGUGGACGCAUCACUGGUGUUCGGGUUGUCAUGCCAAUGGCACUGCCCGGUAGCUAAAUGCGGAAGAGAUAAGUGCUGAAAGCAUCUAAGCACGAAACUUGCCCCGAGAUGAGUUCUCCCUGAGACUUUAAGUCUCCUGAAGGAACGUUAAAGACGAUGACGUUGAUAGGCCGGGUGUGUAAGCGCAGCGAUGCGUUGAGCUAACCGGUACUAAUGAACCGUGAGGCUUAACCUU
RNAcentral lists this ribosomal RNA (2902 nucleotides) under Klebsiella pneumoniae. Its description in RNAcentral is "23S ribosomal RNA". It matches the Rfam family "Bacterial large subunit ribosomal RNA". The record is from RNAcentral. Lineage: Bacteria; Pseudomonadati; Pseudomonadota; Gammaproteobacteria; Enterobacterales; Enterobacteriaceae.